GAUGAACGCUGGCGGCGUGCCUAAUACAUGCAAGUCGAACGAAACUUCUUUAUCACCGAGUGCUUGCACUCACCGAUAAAGAGUUGAGUGGCGAACGGGUGAGUAACACGUGGGCAACCUGCCCAAAAGAGGGGGAUAACACUUGGAAACAGGCGCUAAUACCGCAUAACCAUAGUUACCGCAUGGUAACUAUGUAAAAGGUGGCUAUACUACCGCUUUUGGAUGGGCCCGCGGCGCAUUAGCUAGUUGGUAGGGUAAAGGCUUACCAAGGCAAUGAUGCGUAGCCGAAUUGAGAGGUUGAUCGGCCACAUUGGGACUGAGACACGGCCCAAACUCCUACGGGAGGCAGCAGUAGGGAAUCUUCCACAAUGGGCGAAAGCCUGAUGGAGCAACGCCGCGUGGGUGAAGAAGGUCUUCGGAUCGUAAAACCCUGUUGUUAGAGAAGAAAGUGCGUGAGAGUAACUGUUCACGUUUCGACGGUAUCUAACCAGAAAGCCACUGCUAACUACGUG
This 512-nucleotide ribosomal RNA is filed under the name uncultured bacterium. Its description in RNAcentral is "partial 16S ribosomal RNA". It matches the Rfam family "Bacterial small subunit ribosomal RNA", at positions 28 to 507 of the family's 1533-position model. The record is from RNAcentral.